Molecule: ribosomal RNA, 755 nt
Filed under: uncultured bacterium
Lineage: Bacteria
Description: bacterial SSU rRNA
Rfam family: Bacterial small subunit ribosomal RNA
Source: RNAcentral
AGAGUUUGAUCAUGGCUCAGAAUCAACGCUGGCGGCGCGCUUAACACAUGCAAGUCGAACGAGAAAGGGAGCAAUCCUGAGUAAAGUGGCGCACUGGUGAGUAACACGUGGGUAAUCUACCCUUUGGUGGGGAAUAACCCUGGGAAACCGGGGCUAAUACCGCAUAAGCCUGGAAAGGGAAAGGCGAAAGUCGCCGAAGGAGGAGCCCGCGGCUGAUUAGCUAGUUGGUAGGGUAAAGGCCUACCAAGGCUUCGAUCGGUAGCCGGCCUGAGAGGGCACACGGCCACACUGGCACUGAAACACGGGCCAGACUCCUACGGGAGGCAGCAGUGGGGAAUCUUGCACAAUGGGGGAAACCCUGAUGCAGCGACGCCGCGUGAGCGAUGAAGCCCUUCGGGGUGUAAAGCUCUUUCGACCGGAACGAUAAUGACGGUACCGGGAGAAGAAGCUGCGGCUAACUACGUGCCAGCAGCCGCGGUAAUACGUAGGCAGCGAGCGUUGUUCGGAGUUACUGGGCGUAAAGCGUGCGUAGGCGGUUUUCUAAGUCUGGUGUGAAAUCUCCCGGCUUAACCGGGAGGGUGCGCCGGAUACUGGAAAGCUUGGAGUGCGGGAGAGGUAAGCGGAAUUCCUGGUGUAGCGGUGAAAUGCGUAGAUAUCAGGAGGAACACCGGUGGUGUAGACGGCUUACUGGACCGUAACUGACGCUGAGGCACGAAAGCGUGGGGAGCAAACAGGAUUAGAUACCCUAGUAGUCC